GACGAACGCUGGCGGCGUGCUUAACACAUGCAAGUCGAGGGGCAGCGAGGGCGUAGCAAUACGCCUGUCGGCGACCGGCGCACUGGUGAGUAACACGUAUGCGACCUGCCCCCUACAGGGGUAUAACCCGUAGAAAUGCGGACUAAUCCCCCAUAGUCCUGGGUGCUGCAUGGCAUUCAGGGGAAAGCCAGCCGGUAGGGGAUGGGCAUGCGGCGCAUUAGCUAGUUGGCGGGGCAACGGCCCACCAAGGCGACGAUGCGUAGGGGUUCUGAGAGGAAGGUCCCCCACAUUGGAACUGAGACACGGUCCAAAACUCCUACGGGAGGCAGCAGUGAGGAAUAUUGGUCAAUGGGCGAGAGCCUGAACCAGCCAAGUAGCGUGCAGGAAGACGGCCCUAAUGGGGUUGUAAAACUGCUUUCAGUCGGGAAUAAUUCGUCGGUCGUGACCCGGCGUUGCAGGUACCGUCAUAAGAAGGACCGGCUAAAUUCCGUGCCAGCAGCC
This 501-nucleotide ribosomal RNA is filed under the name uncultured bacterium. Its description in RNAcentral is "bacterial SSU rRNA". It matches the Rfam family "Bacterial small subunit ribosomal RNA", at positions 28 to 516 of the family's 1533-position model. The record is from RNAcentral.